CCUACGGGUGGCAGCAGUGAGGAAUAUUGGUCAAUGGGCGGAAGCCUGAACCAGCCAAGUAGCGUGCAGGAUGACGGCCCUACGGGUUGUAAACUGCUGUUAUACGGGAAUAACGCGCCUUACGUGUAGGGCUUUGCAUGUACCGUAUGAAUAAGGACCGGCUAAUUCCGUGGCAGCAGCCGCGGUAAUACGGAGGGGCCGGGCGUUAUCCGGAUUUAUUGGGUGUAAAGGGAGCGUGGGCCGCAUGUCAAGCGUGCUGUGAAAGGUCCGGGAGCAACCCGGGCCUUGCAGCGCGAACUGGGGUGCGUGAGUCCGCGGAAGGCAGGCGGAAUUCGUGGUGUAGCGGUGAAAUGCGUAGAUAUGACGAAGAACCCUGAUGGCGAAGGCAGCUUGCUGCAGCGUAACUGACGCUGAUGCUCGAAAGCGCGGGUAUCGAACAGGAUUAGAUACCCGAGUAGUC
RNAcentral lists this ribosomal RNA (460 nucleotides) under uncultured bacterium. RNAcentral's name for it is "partial 16S ribosomal RNA". It matches the Rfam family "Bacterial small subunit ribosomal RNA", at positions 338 to 795 of the family's 1533-position model. The record is from RNAcentral.